ACUAGAUCACAAUUCCCCUUUAGAUUUGAACCAUUCAAUUGCUUGACAGUUUGAUCACCUCAAAAUGCAUGCAGACCACCUGAUCGCAUCUCGCACGUGGACCGUUAGAUCAAAAUCAUUUCCUCUGCAAGUCUGUAAACCGUUCAAUUCGAUUACAGCGAUCUCACCGUUGGAUUUGCCUAAAACACCCAAGACCGUCCAAUCUGCUUACCAUUGGUGUCUGCAUGGAUGACCACAUGUGUGGGUCAAACGCAACACGACUUUCUUUGAUUGGGCGGUUGCCACGUCACCAGCCCAGGUGGCCCAUUUUCAAAAAAUUAUAAAAUGGCCCAGAAUUCAAGUUUUCUUUAUAUUUUGGUGCCUAAAUCAAUU
RNAcentral lists this long non-coding RNA (372 nucleotides) under Carica papaya (papaya). Its description in RNAcentral is "long non-coding RNA (CPAP_LNC014605)". The record is from RNAcentral. Lineage: Eukaryota; Viridiplantae; Streptophyta; Magnoliopsida; Brassicales; Caricaceae.